This 406-nucleotide ribosomal RNA is filed under the name uncultured bacterium. RNAcentral's name for it is "bacterial SSU rRNA". It matches the Rfam family "Bacterial small subunit ribosomal RNA", at positions 355 to 776 of the family's 1533-position model. The record is from RNAcentral.
CAGGGAAUCUUGCGCAAUGGGCUAUUGGCCUGACGCAGCGACACCGCGUGGGGGAAGAAGGCCCUAGGGUUGUAAACCCCUUUUCUCGGGGAAGAGAGAGGACGGUACCCGUGGAAUAAGCCUCGGCUAACUACGUGCCAGCAGCCGCGGUAAUACGUAGGAGGCGAGCGUUGUCCGGAUUUACUGGGCGUAAAGGGCGAGUAGGCGGCUCACCAAGUCUCAUGUGAAAUCUCCCGGCUCAACUGGGAGGGGUCAUGGGAAACUGAUGGGCUUGAGGUCAGCAGAGGAAAGCGGAAUUCCCGGAGUAGCGGUGAUAUGCGUAGAUACCGGGAGGAACACCCGAGGCGAAGGCGGCUUUCUGGGCUGCACCUGACGCUGAGGCGCGAGAGCAUGGGGAGCGAACCGG